RNAcentral lists this ribosomal RNA (88 nucleotides) under Geobacillus sp. 44B. RNAcentral's name for it is "partial 16S ribosomal RNA". It matches the Rfam family "Bacterial small subunit ribosomal RNA", at positions 1 to 86 of the family's 1533-position model. The record is from RNAcentral. Lineage: Bacteria; Bacillati; Bacillota; Bacilli; Caryophanales; Anoxybacillaceae.
UUUCUAUGGAGAGUUUGAUCCUGGCUCAGGACGAACGCUGGCGGCGUGCCUAAUACAUGCAAGUCGAGCGGACCGAGCAGGAGCUUGC